UAAACGGCCCUUUUUAGGGCCACUAUUGUUUGCCAACGGAGCUGCUU
Non-coding RNA from Ixodes scapularis (black-legged tick), 47 nucleotides. The record is from Rfam. Lineage: Eukaryota; Metazoa; Arthropoda; Arachnida; Ixodida; Ixodidae.